CCUACGAGAGGCAGCAGUGGGAAAUAUUGCGCAAUGGGCGAAAGCCUGACGCAGCGACGCCGCGUGAGGGAUGAAGGUCUUCGGAUCGUAAACCUCUGUCAGCAGGGAAGAACGGUCACUGUGCUAAUCAGCAGUGAAUUGACGGUACCUGCAAAGGAAGCACCGGCUAAAUACGUGCCAGCAGCCGCGGUAAUACGUAGGUGGCAAGCGUUGUCCGGCUUUACUGGGUGUAAAGGUCGUGUAGCCGGGCUGACAAGUCAGAUGAGAAAUCCGGGGGCUCAACCCCCGAACUGCAUUUGAAACUGUUGGUGUUGAGUAUCGGAGAGGCAGGCGGAAUUCCUAGUGUAGCGGUGAACUGCGUAGAUAUUAGGAGGAACACCAGUGGCGAAGGCGGCCUGCUGGACUGCAACUGACGUUGAGGCCCGAAAGCGUGGGGAGCAAACAGGAUUAGAUACCCUGGUAGUC
This 465-nucleotide ribosomal RNA is filed under the name uncultured bacterium. RNAcentral describes it as "partial 16S ribosomal RNA". It matches the Rfam family "Bacterial small subunit ribosomal RNA", at positions 338 to 795 of the family's 1533-position model. The record is from RNAcentral.